GAUGAACGCUAGCGGCAGGCUUAACACAUGCAAGUCGAGGGGUAUAGUUCUUCGGAAUUAGAGACCGGCGCACGGGUGCGUAACGCGUAUGCAAUCUACCCUUCACAGAGGGAUAGCCCCAGAGAAAUUUGGAUUAAUACCUCAUAGUAUAGCAGUUUCGCAUGAAACCACUAUUAAAGUCACAACGGUGAAAGAUGAGCAUGCGUCCCAUUAGCUAGUUGGUAAGGUAACGGCUUACCAAGGCAACGAUGGGUAGGGGUCCUGAGAGGGAGAUCCCCCACACUGGUACUGAGACACGGACCAGACUCCUACGGGAGGCAGCAGUGAGGAAUAUUGGACAAUGGGCGCAAGCCUGAUCCAGCCAUGCCGCGUGCAGGAUGACGGUCCUAUGGAUUGUAAACUGCUUUUAUACAGGAAGAAACACUACUUCGUGAAGUAGCUUGACGGUACUGUAAGAAUAAGGAUCGGCUAACUCCGUGCCAGCAG
Molecule: ribosomal RNA, 486 nt
Filed under: uncultured bacterium
Lineage: Bacteria
Description: bacterial SSU rRNA
Rfam family: Bacterial small subunit ribosomal RNA
Source: RNAcentral